Molecule: long non-coding RNA, 516 nt
Organism: Ostrinia nubilalis (European corn borer)
Lineage: Eukaryota; Metazoa; Arthropoda; Insecta; Lepidoptera; Crambidae
Exons: 4
Source: RefSeq, a predicted model, not a curated record
AAUCACUGAUAUACAAAUAUUUGUGCAUAUCAAUAGGAAACAACAAGUGAAUUGGUUGCGUUAAAGGAACAUUUCACAAAAUGGUAUCAUCAUUGAUACUGCUAAGUUGCAUGUUCAUGCUUGGGAUUUUAUUGCUGCAAUUUGACUAUUCCUUUAUGUGGUCUUGGAUUGAUGACCAGCUUUUCGGACAGGCGGCGACUGGCAUUCUUUACGAUGUGGAUGCAAACGUGGUGCACAUUGAUCGCACGACCGCAAGCUGGUCGAUGAUGUGGCUGGUCCUGAUGUUUUUCGGAACAGUCUUAGUAUACCAGUUCGGUAUGAUGGUGUUCUACCAAAUACGCGGCUUUCAGAUGUUGCUUCAUACUGGCGGACGAGACGAAAAUAACCAUCUAACUAAGGAAGCCAUAAAGAUUGUGAAAGAACUUCGGACCUCUAACGACGGGCCCCGUAUGAAGACUCUCCAAAACCUGACGCGAACCCGGAACCCUCGAAGACGGCUUCAACAAAAUAAAUGAU